UUGAACGCUGGCGGCAGGCCUAACACAUGCACGUCGAACGGUAACAGGAAACAGCUUGCUGUUUCGCUGACGAGUGGCGGACGGGUGAGUAAUGUCUGGGAAACUGCCUGAUGGAGGGGGAUAACUACUGGAAACGGUAGCUAAUACCGCAUAACGUCGCAAGACCAAAGAGGGGGACCCUCGGGCCUCCUGCCAUCGGAUGUGCCCAGAUGGGAUUAGCUUGUUGGUGGGGUAACGGCUCACCAAGGCGACGAUCCCUAGCUGGUCUGAGAGGAUGACCAGCCACACGGGAACGGAGACACGGCCCGGCCCCCGGGGGGGGGCGGCGGGGGGAAAUUUUGCAAAUGGGGCGCAGGCUUGAUGGAGCAUUGCGGGGGGAAGGAAGAGGCCUUGGGGGUUUAAAAUUUCUUUGGGGGGGGGGGAAGGAAGAAAAUUAAAUCCCUUCGCUCAUUGCGUUUCCCCGAAAAAGAAGCCCCGGCAACCUCCGUC
Molecule: ribosomal RNA, 489 nt
Filed under: uncultured bacterium
Lineage: Bacteria
Description: partial 16S ribosomal RNA
Rfam family: Bacterial small subunit ribosomal RNA
Source: RNAcentral